This 535-nucleotide non-coding RNA is filed under the name Drosophila willistoni. RNAcentral's name for it is "Eukaryotic large subunit ribosomal RNA". It matches the Rfam family "Eukaryotic large subunit ribosomal RNA", at positions 2182 to 2658 of the family's 3401-position model. Lineage: Eukaryota; Metazoa; Arthropoda; Insecta; Diptera; Drosophilidae. The record is from Rfam by way of RNAcentral.
UAGAGUACCGUGGUUGUAAACCCUAUUAAUGGGUACACGUCACGUUACAUAAACUCGACUUCAUGUCCCUAUCUACUAUCUAGCGAAACCACAGCCAAGGGAACGGGCUUGGAAUAAUUAGCGGGGAAAGAAGACCCUUUUGAGCUUGACUCUAAUCUGGCAGUGUAAGGAGACAUAAGAGGAGUAGAAUAAGUGGGAGAUAUUAUUCCUUGUGUUUGAUAUCGCCAAUGAAAUACCACUACUCUUAUUGUUUCCUUACUUACUUGAUUAAAUGGAACGUGUAUCAUUUCCUAGCCAUUAUACGGAUAUAUUUAUUAUAUCUUAUGGUAUUGGGUUUUGAUGCAAGCUUCUUGAUCGAAGUAUCACGAGUUUGUUAUAUAAUCGCAAACAAAUUCUUUAAUGAGAGAGUGCAUUUAUGUAUUUUUAAUUUGAAAUAUUUGGUAUAACUCCAAUUACUCAGGUAUGAUCCAAUUCAAGGACAUUGCCAGGUAGGGAGUUUGACUGGGGCGGUACAUCUCUCAAAUAAUAACGGAGG